GGAAGGGUAACGGCAGCAGACUGUAAAUCUGCCCUGCUUUAACAAAUUGUCGUAUCGGAAUCGCAGUAGGUGGGUUCGAGUCCCACCCCUUCCA
This 94-nucleotide transfer RNA is filed under the name Bacteriophage sp. Its description in RNAcentral is "tRNA-OTHER". It matches the Rfam family "tRNA". Rfam says of the family: Transfer RNA (tRNA) molecules are approximately 80 nucleotides in length. Their secondary structure includes four short double-helical elements and three loops (D, anti-codon, and T loops). Further hydrogen bonds mediate the characteristic L-shaped molecular structure. tRNAs have two regions of fundamental functional importance: the anti-codon, which is responsible for specific mRNA codon recognition, and the 3' end, to which the tRNAs corresponding amino acid is attached (by aminoacyl-tRNA synthetases). tRNAs cope with the degeneracy of the genetic code in two manners: having more than one tRNA (with a specific anti-codon) for a particular amino acid; and 'wobble' base-pairing, i.e. permitting non-standard base-pairing at the 3rd anti-codon position. The record is from RNAcentral.